AGUUAAUGAACUUGAUACAAGUAUAUGUUUUGAAAACAUAAAAAAGAGGUCAACUCCUCUAUUAACUU
This 68-nucleotide transfer RNA is filed under the name Carabus brandti. RNAcentral describes it as "tRNA-Ser". It matches the Rfam family "tRNA". From Rfam's summary of the family: Transfer RNA (tRNA) molecules are approximately 80 nucleotides in length. Their secondary structure includes four short double-helical elements and three loops (D, anti-codon, and T loops). Further hydrogen bonds mediate the characteristic L-shaped molecular structure. tRNAs have two regions of fundamental functional importance: the anti-codon, which is responsible for specific mRNA codon recognition, and the 3' end, to which the tRNAs corresponding amino acid is attached (by aminoacyl-tRNA synthetases). tRNAs cope with the degeneracy of the genetic code in two manners: having more than one tRNA (with a specific anti-codon) for a particular amino acid; and 'wobble' base-pairing, i.e. permitting non-standard base-pairing at the 3rd anti-codon position. Lineage: Eukaryota; Metazoa; Arthropoda; Insecta; Coleoptera; Carabidae. The record is from RNAcentral. RNAcentral also lists the same sequence under 1 other name.